Molecule: long non-coding RNA, 1786 nt
Organism: Lemur catta (Ring-tailed lemur)
Lineage: Eukaryota; Metazoa; Chordata; Mammalia; Primates; Lemuridae
Exons: 2
Source: RefSeq, a predicted model, not a curated record
GAGCUGAAUGACGACCAUUUGCCUUUUUGUGCGUUUUAUCUUACAGUUAGUUUUUAACUUGAACAGGACCUUUAGAGCAGAGAGCUGCAUUUCCCUCUGAGAAUUGCACGCUUGCGGAGCUCCCGGCCGCGCCGCCACUGGGCAUGCCCAGGGUUGCUGCGCCCUGUCCCGCGCAGGUACGACAUCCCCACCGCGGAGACCGGCCCUGUGGCCAGCGCCGCACUCGGUGCCUUCACGGGCUUUCACUUCAUCCCCAACCUGCCUUGUGAGGCGAACGCUACUCAGUAAGGCUCAGAGAUAGUCCUUGUUCAAGUCACUUCACCAGAAAGUGACAGAGCCCGAAUUCAAACCCAGGUCUGCCUGGUUCCAGGGCCCUCGCUGCUUCCGUUGUUCUUCACUGCCAAGGAGUCCUCUCCAAGGCUAUGCUCAGAAGUUGGAUUAAAGUACAGGUCCCCAUUUCAGAUUCUUUAGACUUUGCCCCGAGAAAGGGCUCAGGUGAUGCCGUCAGAGGUCCCGUAUUGAGGAGCUUCGCGUGGGAGACGUGUUCUCACGGCUCAUGGAGCCGUGUGGAUGAAGGAAGGAAAGGGUGACUCCAUCCCCGAGUCCUUCAGACAUACCGCAACAGGGUCUAGGUCACUCUGCCUCGUUCUUUGUCUACCUUCUGCCAAGGAACCGGUUCUCCCUGCCUGCCUUGGGAUUCUAGCAUAGGUAGUUUUGGAGUUUGUCCUAUUUAAAAUUUAUUUUCACUGCCUGCUUUGGACAUUUGUUCUGCUAAAGCUGUUAGGAUUUCAGUACAUUCAGGGCCGUGAUGGCAUGCCUCAGCCCUCAAGUCUGCUGUGUCUCCUCAGUUAAUAGAGUGGAAAUGUAGCCCAUCUGUCUGGACCGUAUAGAAGAAUUUGGAGAAAAAAAAAAUAACAGCUCCGACAUUCUGUGCUUCCAACUGCAGCAUGUAAUUAAAUGCUAAAGCAUCUGGCUUCCCGAGUAGAAAGAACAAGGCUGGAGGAAGGAAAAAGGAAGACAGAGAUCCUUCUGGGUUGCCCAUUUGUGCACCAGCCUCACUGCCAGCCGUCACAACAGGGGGACGUAGCAAGAUGCCAACUCCUAAUGACAGGGCUCGGGUGAGUUGGUGGUUCCCUGUUUAGCUCAGACACUGUGGGGAGUAUCUGAGACCGCAGAGGAGUGAGAGGUAAAACCAGGGCUGCUUAUGGUCAACAGUAGAACCUCCCUGCGUCCUGCAUGGGGCAGCUUCCCUUUCCCACUGUCCUGGACACGGUGAUCCUGGCCACCUUUGAGCAUGUGUGACAUGCUGGGGGAACAGUGACAGGGACAGCUGAAUUGGAAAAGGUAAGUAGGACAGGUUAGGCGAGAAGGGCAGGAAGGGCAACCCCACAGAGGAACAGCAUUUGCAAUGGCUCAGAGGAGUGCACGGCCAGGCAUGGGGAGGUGGUGGGGCAGAGUGUCACAAGAGGAGCCUGAAGAGGUGGCUGGGCACCAGGACACUCAGGACUUUAUCCAAGUCAAAGGGGAGACACAGCGUCAGUCUGGCAUUUACAUUUCCCUGGAUAAAAAAGAAAACAGCACUUUUUUCAAAUUUUUCCAUUUAUAUGAAAUAUCCAUGGAGACAGAACAUAGAUUGGUGGUUGCCAGGGGCUGGGGAGCAACUGCUUAAUAGGUACGAGGUUUCCUUUUGGAGUGAUGGAACGUUCUGGAACUAGGCAGAAGUGGUGGCUGUACAACAUUGUGAAUGUACGAACUGCCAAUAAAUUAACCACUUGAAAAUGGUUAA